UACAGAGGGUGCGAGCGUAAUCGGAAUUACUGGGCGUAAAGCGUGCGUAGACGGUAGCGUAAGUCAGAUGUGAAAGCCCCGGGCUCAACCUGGGAGUUGCAUUUGAGACUGCUCUGCUCGGGUGCGGAAGAGGGAAGCGGAAUUUCCGGUGUAGCGGUGAAAUGCGUAGAUAUCGGAAGGAACACCAGUGGCGAAAGCGGCUCCUGGUCC
RNAcentral lists this ribosomal RNA (210 nucleotides) under uncultured bacterium. RNAcentral's name for it is "partial 16S ribosomal RNA". It matches the Rfam family "Bacterial small subunit ribosomal RNA", at positions 524 to 735 of the family's 1533-position model. The record is from RNAcentral.